Molecule: transfer RNA, 65 nt
Filed under: Rhabdotobothrium anterophallum
Lineage: Eukaryota; Metazoa; Platyhelminthes; Cestoda; Rhinebothriidea; Rhinebothriidae
Description: tRNA-Leu
Source: RNAcentral
GUAACAGUGCCAGAGAUUUAUGGGCUUGGUUUAGGACCAAGUUACGGUUAUUUAACCCCGUUACU